Long non-coding RNA from Erpetoichthys calabaricus (reedfish), 1465 nucleotides. RefSeq lists it as uncharacterized. The record is from RefSeq and is a predicted model, not a curated record. The transcript has 2 exons. NCBI's taxonomy places the organism in Eukaryota, Metazoa, Chordata, Cladistia, Polypteriformes, Polypteridae.
AUAGUACCCUCAACUUGUUCUGUCUCUUCACAGUACAGUUUGGUUGGAGCUGGCUGUGAACAAAGACUACCUUUCUUCUGAGCAUUUGUCACAUUCUUCCAUGGACAGCAGGGAAAGAAUGGGUGUGACUCACUGACUGCCCCUAUUAUGAUUAAUUUUGAAGAAUGUCAAAAAAGGGAUACGAUCACAGAACUGAGUUAAAGAGUCCAUCUACUUCAAUCAGCUUGCAAUUUAUAAGUAGGCUUGUAUCACAUGGAGAGAGCAGUUUUCUAAUGGAUCCAUCCAAAAGUCUGUGCAUUACAACAAAAAUUUCAUGCUGUCAUGUAUGGAUCAUAACCAGCUGUUUUUGAAGAGAUUACGUAUUCAGCAAAAGCAAAGUAUUUUUACCAAUCUCUUGACCAGGGCAAUGUAUUCAUGGAGUACACUGAAAGAAGAUCAUCCUUUGCCAAACAACCUAUCUUGGACUCUUUACAGAAAUAUUCUAUUGCACAAUCUCUGUUAUAAAAAAGUUUACAUUCACAAAUCUUGUCAGUUCACGAAGUUUAUCAGAUUUAAUUUGUUCCAUGACAACAAUGAUUAACAAAGUAGAGCUGGUAAAAAAAAACAUGCAUUAUGUUACAGGUGGUCUCAGCACCAUAUGAAAUUUUUUAAUAAUGAUUUGUAAUGAUUUGUCCUUCAGUAGUCCUUCGCUUUCAUUUUCAAAUGAAGGAAAUAUCACAGCUGCUUAGGUCUUGGAAUAAUCUCAUCCGGCCAAACAAGUGACCUCAGAAUGAAGCCAAAAAUGUAGGUUCUGUGUACCAUGAAGAUUCUACAUUUGGUUGGGUAUGAACAAAAUUUUUUCAGAUGCUCAAGCCCCUAAUAGCUAAAAAGAAUACACCAUUUGUAUGAAAAUAAAUGUACACAAUAACAUGGCUCGACAAAACUCCUUUAAAAACAAACUUCACAGGUAACUAUUUAUUUAACUCCUUUUCCCUACAAACAGGAUGAUAGAUCACUGCAAGGCAACACCAUUUUUCAUGAACCUGUCUUUUAGGAGUUUGCUUCACCAGAUAGUAUGAUCUUUGAAAUGAAAUGUAUUUCAUUCUUAAAAAUGGCUAAAAGAAUAUUUUUUCCAACACAGAAGUGUCCUCCCCAGCCAUAUGUAAAGCCCAGGUACUGUUAAUGGGGUCAGUCCUUCACCCAGAGGCACACGGAGUCAUUUAGAGUUAAAGAAGCACACAAGGUUUUUUCUUUUUUUUUGAUAGCGAAAUGUGGACCAAUCUAUGAGUGAAUGAAUAAGAAGCAAAAAGGAGAAGGAGAGACAAGAUGUAACCAUGUGCCCUCUGAAAUGUAUUGUAUUUGCACACUGGAUGGCACCUUAGCUGUUCCAGCAUUAUUAAAGAUGUUAUGUUUGUAGCAGUUUUUGUUGACUACUUUUGUAUGUCUGUGUGCAGGACACACAUUAAAAAUAAAUCAUUCCAAGUGA